This 775-nucleotide ribosomal RNA is filed under the name uncultured Neocallimastigales. Its description in RNAcentral is "partial large subunit ribosomal RNA". It matches the Rfam family "Eukaryotic large subunit ribosomal RNA", at positions 24 to 636 of the family's 3401-position model. Lineage: Eukaryota; Fungi; Neocallimastigomycota; Neocallimastigomycetes; Neocallimastigales. The record is from RNAcentral.
UAUCUCUGUAGAGUCUGCAUAUCAAUAAGCGGAGGAAAAGAAACUAACUAGGAUUCCCUUAGUAACGGCGAGUGAAGCGGGAAGAGCUCAAAUUUGAAAUCUUCAAGGUUUUACCUUGACGAAUUGUAGUUUAAAGAAGUGUUUUCUGUUGAGUGUUUUGGUAAAAGUUCUUUGGAAUAGGACAUCAUAGAGGGUGAGAAUCCCGUAUUUGACCAUUAUUUUCAGCUGUGUGAUACACUUUCAAAGAGUCGGAUUGUUUGGGAAUGCAGUCCAAAAUGGGUGGUAAAUUUCAUCUAAAGCUAAAUAUUGGCGAGAGACCGAUAGCGAACAAGUACCGCGAGGGAAAGAUGAAAAGAACUUUGAAAAGAGAGUUAAACAGUACGUGAAAUUGUCAAAAGGGAAGCGUUUGACACCAGUGUUGUUUUCUCGAAAAUCAAUUAAAAAGAGUUUGAUUUUGUUGUGUAUUGACCUUAACAGCUUGCAUUUCAAUUUUCUUGCUUUUUUUAAUGCACUUUUCGUUUAACAAGUCAACAUCAGUUUCUUUUGUUGUAAAAAGGUCAUUGGAAGGUGGCUUUCUUUUCGGAGAAAGUGUUUAUAGCCUUUGACUCCUGCAAUCGGAGAGACUGAGGUCUGCAGCGUAGAUCCCUCGGGGUUAGAUACAUUUGUGCUAAGUUAUAGCUUCUUAUAGACAACUUGUUGACUAUGAUUAGUCUUGUAGCUUACUCGCUUAUGCUAUUUUACCUACGCUUAGGAUGUUGAAGAUAUGCGCGACACG